Molecule: non-coding RNA, 26 nt
Filed under: Homo sapiens (human)
Lineage: Eukaryota; Metazoa; Chordata; Mammalia; Primates; Hominidae
Source: RNAcentral
UAGAGUCAUCUUUAGAGGAUGCCAGC